RNAcentral lists this ribosomal RNA (305 nucleotides) under uncultured bacterium. RNAcentral's name for it is "bacterial SSU rRNA". It matches the Rfam family "Bacterial small subunit ribosomal RNA", at positions 333 to 654 of the family's 1533-position model. The record is from RNAcentral.
CGGGGCCUACGGGGCGCAGCAGUGGGGAAUAUUGCACAAUGGGGGAAACCCUGAUGCAGCGACGCCGCGUGAGUGAAGAAGUAUUUCGGUAUGUAAAGCUCUAUCAGCAGGGAAGAAGAAAGACGGUACCUGACUAAGAAGCCCCGGCUAACUACGUGCCAGCAGCCGCGGUAAUACGUAGGGGGCAAGCGUUAUCCGGAUUUACUGGGUGUAAAGGGAGCGUAGACAGCCAGACAAGUCAGAAGUGAAAGCCCAGGGCUCAACCCUGGGACUGCUUUUGAAACUGCCGGGCUGGAGUGCAGGAG